RNAcentral lists this ribosomal RNA (292 nucleotides) under uncultured prokaryote. RNAcentral's name for it is "partial 16S ribosomal RNA". It matches the Rfam family "Bacterial small subunit ribosomal RNA", at positions 505 to 796 of the family's 1533-position model. The record is from RNAcentral.
GUGCAAGCAGCCGCGGUAAUACUAAGUGGGCUCUCGUUGUUCGGAUUUACUGGGCGUAAAGCGCACGUAGGCGGACUAUUAAGUCAGGGGUGAAAUCCCGGGGCUCAACCCCGGAACUGCCUUUGAUACUGGUAGUCUUGAGUUCGAGAGAGGUGAGUGGAAUUCCGAGUGUAGAGGUGAAAUUCGUAGAUAUUCGGAGGAACACCAGUGGCGAAGGCGGCUCACUGGCUCGAUACCGACGCUGAGGUGCGAAAGCGUGGGGAGCAAACAGGAUUAGAAACCCCAGUAGUCC